UGGGGAAUAUUGGGCAAUGGGCGAAAGCCUGACCCAGCAACGCCGCGUGAGGGAAGAAGGGUUUCGGCUCGUAAACCUCUGUCCUAUGGGACGAAGGAAGUGACGGUACCAUAGGAGGAAGCCCCGGCUAACUACGUGCCAGCAGCCGCGGUAAUACGUAGGGGGCGAGCGUUGUCCGGAAUGAUUGGGCGUAAAGGGCGCGUAGGCGGCCUGGUAAGUCUGGAGUGAAAGUCCUGCUUUUAAGGUGGGAAUUGCUUUGGAUACUGCUGGGCUUGAGUGCAGGAGAGGAAAGCGGAAUUACCGGUGUAGCGGUGAAAUGCGUAGAGAUCGGUAGGAACACCAGUGGCGAAGGCGGCUUUCUGGACUGAAACUGACGCUGAGGCGCGAAAGCGUGGGGAGCAAACAGG
Molecule: ribosomal RNA, 407 nt
Filed under: Christensenellaceae bacterium
Lineage: Bacteria; Bacillati; Bacillota; Clostridia; Christensenellales; Christensenellaceae
Description: bacterial SSU rRNA
Rfam family: Bacterial small subunit ribosomal RNA
Source: RNAcentral